Lytechinus pictus (painted urchin) is the source of this 867-nucleotide long non-coding RNA. RefSeq lists it as uncharacterized. The record is from RefSeq and is a predicted model, not a curated record. The transcript is spliced from 3 exons. NCBI's taxonomy places the organism in Eukaryota, Metazoa, Echinodermata, Echinoidea, Temnopleuroida, Toxopneustidae.
CUUUCCAACCGAGGUUGUACCUACCCGUCAAAGGAGAAGAUUUUACGAUGACGUGCAUCUAUUCGCCUCCUUUAAAUGAUCGUACAGUACAUUGGAGACAUGAGGGCAUCCAGGUAGCUUAUGAAUCGUGCACAACUACGAGUGAAUGCACAACUACUAUUCCUAAUCCUACAAAGUACAAGUUAAUGGGAGAUGACCGCAGCACAUCCCUUACAAUAGUCAAUUUGACCACUGGUGACAAUGGGAGAUACACAUGCGAUGUUUUUAACCUAGAUGGGCAACGUUCAGCGAAUGAACAUUUGGAAGCACUAAAUCCAGUUCCACCAGCAAGGGUCUUUGUAUCUGAUACCCAAUCGGGCUGGCAGUACUUGAACUACGCUAACAUAAGUAUAACUGCUGGAGAUCCGUAUAACAUCACCUGUGGGGUAAAUAGAGCAAGACCUCCUGCUGUUCUGCAAUGGCUAAUACCAGAGGACGUGACCGUUGUUGAUUACGAUCAGUCUGAUGACAUUCAAGACGGAUAUUACACAUCCCAGAAAUCUUUGACAAUCACACCAACCAGAAACGAUCACGGAAAUAUCAUCAGCUGCAUCGUAUCACAUCAAGAUCUACAAAGGAGAAUUAGAUACUUAGUUACUCUGAAUGUUCGUGUUCUACCAACCAGUGUGCUCCUCUUUCCAACUGGAGGUAACCAGUCACAAUCAACAGUCCUAUACGUUCAAGAAGAUUCACCGACUUCAAUCACUUGUAAAAGCAUCGGGUCAUUCCCAGCGACCGCACUAUCAUUUUGGUUAGUUGGCGACCUUGACAGGACGUCGAUCCGUGCAAAUGUAUCAAGUAAUAUGAGUGUUUUAGACGACGCUUUAU